This is a regulatory RNA element of 247 nucleotides. It matches the Rfam family "T-box leader". From Rfam's summary of the family: Uncharged tRNA acts as the effector for transcription antitermination of genes in the T-box leader family. The record is from Rfam.
UUACAAGCUAUGAAAAGAAGAGUAAAUAAAGGUUUUUUCUAUCAGAGAGCUAGGUUAGGUGAAAGCUAGUGUCAAAAGCUUUAUUGAAGAUGGUCUUGGAGCUUUUUAUCUGAGCAAGUGUGCUAGGGUAAAACGGUUGGACACGUUAUAGUCUACUAAGGUAUCUAUAAAAUGUUUCUACAUUUCAUGUGAAACAUAACUAUUAUAGAUGAAUUAGGGUGGUACCGUGAAUAAUCUCGCCCCUAUG